CAAUCUCAGAAUGCAAAAUUAAUAUUGACUCAACUAUCACUAAAACCAAAAUCAAUAACGAGAGCCAGCACUCCUCUAAGCCAAGUCCUGGUGUAAUUAUCCAGGAAACCUUGAAUCUACUCAAAUGCAACAAGAACAAUGAAGAUGGUCGCCACAAUCUGAUGGAAUAAAUUAUUUUACUGCAACUUUACCCAGUGAUGGUAACAAUUGAACUAGUAAUGCUGCAUAGUGAAUUUAUUCUACAGUUGGUGUAAUAAAGGGGAACGGUAGAAAUAAGACAAUUGAAUACAAUCCCCUAUAACUUGUGUUAACCUUUUUUCGUGAGAUGUGCUUUUUAAAAAAAAUAAAUUUAUAUUAAAGAUUUAGCAAAUGACAUCCCAAUCUAGUACAGUCUUGGCACAGUCAGGGCAUACAUUUCAAAUAAGGAAGUGAGAA
Pelobates cultripes (western spadefoot toad) is the source of this 435-nucleotide non-coding RNA. The record is from the annotation of a GenBank genome assembly. Lineage: Eukaryota; Metazoa; Chordata; Amphibia; Anura; Pelobatidae.